This 484-nucleotide ribosomal RNA is filed under the name uncultured bacterium. RNAcentral's name for it is "partial 16S ribosomal RNA". It matches the Rfam family "Bacterial small subunit ribosomal RNA", at positions 30 to 507 of the family's 1533-position model. The record is from RNAcentral.
AUUGAACGCUGGCGGCAGGCCUAACACAUGCCAGUCGAGCGGAUGAAGGGAGCUUGCUCCUGGAUUCAGCGGCGGACGGGUGAGUAAUGCCUAGGAAUCUGCCUGGUCGUGGGGGAUAACGUCCGGAAACGGGCGCUAAUACCGCAUACGUCCUGAGGGAGAAAGUGGGGGAUCUUCGGACCUCACGCUAUCAGAUGCGCCUAGGUCGGAUUAGCUAGUUGGUGGGGUAAAGGCCUACCAAGGCGACGAUCCGUAACUGGUCUGAGAGGAUGAUCAGUCACACUGGAACUGAGACACGGUCCAGACUCCUACGGGAGGCAGCAGUGGGGAAUAUUGGACAAUGGGCGAAAGCCUGAUCCAGCCAUGCCGCGUGUGUGAAGAAGGUCUUCGGAUUGUAAAGCACUUUAAGUUGGGAGGAAGGGCAGUAAGUUAAUACCUUGCUGUUUUGACGUUACCAACAGAAUAAGCACCGGCUAACUUCGUG